Ribosomal RNA from Spermophilus dauricus (Daurian ground squirrel), 101 nucleotides. NCBI's taxonomy places the organism in Eukaryota, Metazoa, Chordata, Mammalia, Rodentia, Sciuridae. The record is from Ensembl.
GGUUAUGAACUCCCAUUUUUGAACGCGCCCGAUCUCGUCUGAUCUUGGAAGCUAAGCAGGGUCAGGCCUGGUUAGUACUUGGAUGGGAGACAACAUAAUUU